GAGUUUGAUCCUGGCUCAGGACGAACGCUUGCGGCGUGCCUAAGAAAUGCAAGUCGAACGGACAGAGAAUUCGUUUUCUGUUAGUGGCGAACGGUCGCGUAACACGUAAGCAACCUGCCCAAAAGUGGGGGACAACAGCCCGAAAGGGCUGCUAAUACCGCAUGUGGUCUAGAUUUGGCAUCUUAUCUAGUCUAAAGCUUUAUGCGCUUUUGGAUGGGCUUGCGGCCUAUCAGCUAGUUGGUGGGGUAAUGGCCUACCAAGGCGUUGACGGGUAGCUGGUCUGAGAGGACGAUCAGCCGGAUUGGGACUGAGAUACGGCCCAGACUCCUACGGGGGGCAGCAAUUAGGAAUCUUGCGCAAUGGGGGCAACCCUGACGCAGCGACGCCGCGUGGAGGAUGACGGCCUUCGGGUUGUAAACUCCUUUUUUAGGGGAAGAAGAAUGUGACGGUACCCUAAGAAUAAGCCCCGGCUAACUACGUGCCAGCAGCCGCGGUAAUACGUAGGGGGCGAGCGUUGUCCGAAGUUACUGGGCGUAAAGCGCGCGUAGGCGGUUCUUUAAGUUUGGGGUGAAAGGUUCAGUGCUCAACGCGAACAGUGCCCUGGAGACUGGAGAACUUGAGUGUGGGAGGGGGCAGUGGAAUUCCUGGUGUAGCGGUGAAAUGCGUAGAUAUCAGGAGGAACACCGGUGGCGAAGGCGGCUGCCUGGCCUAACACUGACGCUGAGGUGCGAAAGCGUGGGGAGCGAACGGGAUUAGAUACCCCGGUAGUCCACGCCGUAAACGAUGAGUGCUAGGUGUCUGCGGUAUCGACCCCGCAGGUGCCGUCGCUAACGCAGUAAGCACUCCGCCUGGGGAGUACGGCCGCAAGGUUGAAACUCAAAGGAAUUGACGGGGGCCCGCACAAGCGGUGGAGCAUGUGGAUUAAUUCGUCACUAACCGAAGAACCUUACCCAGACUUGACAUCGCGUGUAAAACUAUGAAAGUAGUUCCCCUCCGCAAGGAGGCACAAAGACAGGUGUUGCAUGGCUGUCGUCAGCUCGUGUCGUGAGAUGUUGGGUUAAGUCCCGCAACGAGCGCAACCC
This 1082-nucleotide ribosomal RNA is filed under the name uncultured bacterium. RNAcentral's name for it is "bacterial SSU rRNA". It matches the Rfam family "Bacterial small subunit ribosomal RNA", at positions 9 to 1104 of the family's 1533-position model. The record is from RNAcentral.